GUUAACUUUUAAUACACGAAGAAAACGCGAUUUGUUGUAAAACAAUGAUGGCGGAAAAUAUAGCAGACAUCUUGAGAAAUUUGUUUGGAAAUGGAAGAUUCAUCUGAAGAUGAAGUUGAUUUACCAUAUAUUGGACUACAAAAUUAUGAGAGAGCUUGAUAAAGGGCAAAAUGCCAAAAUGGAAAAUACUGUUGUAUGAAGAGUCAGCCAUGGAAGCUGCUCUUAAAGAUGCAGCGAAUGGUAUGAGUAUAAAACGAGCAGAGGAAAAAAAAAAUAUGUGCCAAGAAACACAUUGUCCGAUAAACACAAAGGCAAAUCGCCCUUGGGUAGGAAGAUGGGCCCUGAUUCAUUUUUAAAGUUUACUUCUGAUACCGCAUAACAUGCCAUGUUAUGUUGCAGCAAUGAAUCGAGUCGUAUUGCGUACGCGUACAGUAUGACGUCUUGUAAAUAAUAAUAAAUAGAAUAUAAACAAUUAACAAUAUUUGAUAACUAAACAGUUUUUGUUAACCAAGAAACAAUUAAAUCUCAUUAGAGCGGCUUUAUUAUAUCGCUUUUAAGAUAGGAACAAAAAAAAUGUGAAAAUACGCAAUAGUGAAAAACAAAAACAUACAUAUUUCUAAUUUGUAAAAAAAUACUUUGUUACGUUGUUUCUGUUCCAAUCUCAAACUUUGUCUACACACAUAAUACCUUUAAUAAACAGUAAAAAAACUUAGACGAGGAAUUUCCAAAUUAUACUUUACUUAAUAAACAAACAUCGUUCUUUGUAACGUAAAUUCAUCGAAUAUGCGCACGCAUGCGUAAAAUAUACGAGAAAUGCGAGUAACAAAAUGCAUUCGUGUGUAACGUUUCCUUACUCGUUACUAGACGGCGCACCCGUUACUCAGUAACGAAUACAUACGGUUUGCUACAGCUCUAUAUAUUUUCAUGUUAGUUGUGCUGUCCCUCUUUGUUCCGUGAGUGCUGUAAGUAAAUUCAAAAUUUAAUGAGGAUUAUUCAUUAUAUUACUAAACGAUCUUUAUGAAUUGCCAUUUUGAUGUUUAAAAUAUAGAACCAAAUAAAAUUUGAAGCCCAAAUAGUACAAUACUAUCAUUCUGGAUCCAUGAAUUAAAACUAAUGCAGCCGAAAUCGCACAUGACGACUACUGGCACAAACAUGUGACGAACACUGGCAAACACGAAAAUUUGCAUGACGACUACUGGCUCGAAAUCACACUUUUUUCAAAAUUAUAAAUCUACAAAAAUAAUUUGUUUUUAUCGAAGAGUGUUGGAUAGCAUUGUAGAGUAAAGUUUGAGGUCAAACAUGUAGGGGCAGUAAUACACCUACGAGGUUAUGUACACAAUUUUUUUUUUUCUAAAACUCUUCUUAGCAUGAUGACUACUGGUACAUUUACCUUACUUAUAGAUUUUUUUAAUGUUUUGUAAAAUACUGUUAACGGAGGAUACAGCUAUGUAACGGAGGAGAAAUUGCAUGCAAGAACAGCAUAAUAUUAUGCAAAUCAAUAGAGAUUUUAAUAUGUAAUGUAAUUCUUUAAAUGACAUUUGUACAUAUAUAUAUAUAUAUAAACUUCAAAAUUGGACUUUAUUAAUAUCCUAAAGCCUUCUCCAACCUGGUCAUUGAUAAAAAAAAAAUCAGUUAAUUAAAUUUUAAAAACUACGUACAGCGAAACUCAAUAACAGUAGACAAUCUUAAUGAAUAAUGAGCAAAACAUGACAGUUCAAAGCCCGCAACUAAUUCUAGCCUAUUUGUGGGAAUUCUGAUGUUAUAUUUUGAAACAAGUAUUGCCCACGUUGGUUUAUAGUUGGGCAGGGGCAGUCCAACACUUUCAGUAUGUCUCUGGAAUCAAUUACAUAAGUCUCAUCUUCAGUUGGAAAAAUGAACUUAUCACCACAAGAUCUCUUUAGAAAUUUGACAGAGAAUUCAUCUGUUUGUUGAACUGCCAGUACAAAAGCGACAUACUGGCGUGAAAUUUUUAUCCAGUGUACUGUUACCACUACAUAGUCAUCAACUUUUGCUGAUGCACACGGUACGAGGGUCACACUAUCUGGUUCAGAGGCUGAUGAAGCACUUGAAUCAGUGUAGACAUCCUGAAAACAUAGUUUACCUGGUGUAGAACCUGAUAUAAAUGAUGUUAAGGAAAGGGAAAGUGUAGGUAUAUUUUUAAAUAGUUUGCAUAAGUAACAGAGAUUUAGUGCUACCUUGAGACAGAAUAUCAAGCUUCAUAUAAAUUAAUUUGGUAAAAAACUGAAAGUGAGAAUAUUUGUGAUUAAAUUAGGCAGUAUAGAGUGCAACAAUAAAGGAUACAAAGCUGAAUGGUGCCAAGCCCAUAGUGAGGACACGAAUUUGUUCGUGCACACUGCAGACAACUCAGACGAUUCAUUUGUAAAGUACAGAAUCCAUUAUUCCAAAUUACUUUAUGGACCUGCAUUGUUCCCUUGAAAGCUGGAAUACAUUUGGGUAAAUGUUCAUUUUCAAUAUCCUUAAUUUCGCUUUCUCUUACAUUUAGGAUCUUGAUGCCAGAAAUCUCCUUCUGUAACACUUCAUACAAUUUCUGAAAAUUGGGAAUAUCUGUACCUGUGGCUACAAGCCUGUCUGCAGUUCUUUUAACACAUCCUCCAAUGCCAUCUGGUGCACCGUUGCCAUGGCCAGCUUCAGAAAAAUGCCAGUGAAUGGCUCCUCUCAUAUUUAGAGCAGGAGCGAGAAAUUUUCUUAUUAGCUGGAACAUUUUACGGUUUUUGUAUUGCGUAGUUGGUCCAUCACUGACAAAAUGGACCACCUCAGGGUUACAAACCUGUUUUUUUGAGUUCAUCGAUGACAGGGAGCAAGUGUGCACAUAUUGCUGGGGGAUUGUGGCGUAAACUUUCCGAUAAAGUACAGAAAGAUAAUGGUUGCACUUUCUGAGUUUCCUUUUGCAAAAUAUAUGCCACAACAGUGUGUAACGAAAUUUGAGGUUUUGACCCUCCAAAAUGUGCUGCCUGGAUUUCGCUUGCAUAUUUGCAAUUGAAAUUCUCGGAAAAAUCUAUGUGAAUCAAAAGUUCAUUAGAGGUAAGAUUCUUCUUCAAAUGAUCUAGUACAUGAUAUUGAUGUUUCAUGUUGGCUGUGUGCUGCAAGAAUUUGCAUAAAGACUCUUCAAAUGCAACAGCCAGAUCUCUUUUUUUGCAUUCAAUAUCUUCUUUUACUGUUUUGAUUGAAGUUUUCUCCUGUCCUUUCACAGAAAUGUGAUACAUUUUUGUAAUGUUGUGUCUUCUGUUCCAUCGUACUCUUUAAAAUUUUUAAUUUUUUUCUUACACUGGUGGCACUUCCUUUCAAGACAAGCUUCACUCUGAUUUUCGCAGGUAACUGUUUGUAUAAUUUCUUGUGAGGAACUUUGUGUAAUCAUUUUCAAAGAUUUCAAUUUUUGUAUGAGCAGAGAAAAGUUUUCAUGAACAGAACAUGUAUCUCUUUCUUUUACACAAGGAGGCACAAUCCAAAAUGGCUUAUAUUUACAAAAUAAGGCAUAUGAAAGUUUAUUUGGAUGUGUUUUACUGAACCGUUGGUACAAAUUUUUCAUUGUGUCAUUCAGAAGCCUUUUUUGUUUCUUUAUUUCCAUCUUUUUAAUGGUAUCCCUUUUCCCUGGUGUUAACCUGCUAUUUUCAUAUUUUUCUAAAAAAGCUUUGACACACUUUUUGUUUCUUGAAAUGCGCUCCUCACAUAGCCUCCUCAUAGCCUUUCCAGAUGUCAGCAUCUUUAUUUUAUGAAUAAAUCUGUAUUUCCUUACUAUUGCUCCAGAAAUUUUCCCCAGAAACUCACAUUUCUUCUUCCGUUGCUGCUCAUUUUUGUAGCUGGUCUUUGUUUGAUUUUGAAUAACUUCUCCGAAAAUUAAUUUUCUUCGAAUAAGAUGUGUCACUGACGUUUUGCCUAAAAGUUUUGUAACUGUUCUCCUUGGUGUCUCUUCCAUAUCUUCAUUAUAUUUUUUUUGUAAUCUGUGUUUUUGCUGUCUAUAAUUAGCAAGUUGCCUAUUCCUGUCCUUUAAUUUAUUUUCUAACACUGCAAUUUUUUCCUUCAUUUCCUGUCUGUUUUCUUCUCCUUACUUUCUUUCCACUUUCUUUUCGCUUAUCAUCAACUGUAAGAGGUCUACUUCUACGGUUAUUAGUACUUCCGGAAGUACUCGGAAUGCCAGGACUAAGAGGUUAUGCGUUUAAAUUUUCAAGCAUCUGAUUUAUAUCUUUUACAGAUGCUCUAUAUUUUCUAGUUUUUUCUCGCCAUUUUUUUCUCAGGUUCCUUUUGGCACGAUCACACAUUUUUUAAGAGUUUUAAUUUUUCCGUCUUCUACACGUUUCUUGAAUCUUUCACGUUCCUUUCUCUUAGAUUCCUCUUAUAGAUUUGUAUCGUUCUUAAUUUUCUCUCUGUAUUUUCGCAUUCUUUCUUUAGCUGUCAUCUUGUUGGUUUUGCCCAUUAUGAACUGUAAUAAACAAAAAGACCAUACAAUUUAAGAGUCUGUAACAAAUUUGUAAAAAUGUAAUAAUAACACUAUUUUUUUGUUUAAAUAUCCCAACACUAUAUGUUUAAGGAAUUUGUAAGCAAGUUACCAGAUAAACAUCUUUUUAUAGUCCAAGGAAGUAAUACUUUUUAAGCCAGACUAUAAAUUAAAUGUGACCUAAACCAGACCAAAGAUUUUAAAAGUAUACCUCAAUUACACAAAUGGUAUCAUCUGUUUCACAAACAGUAUCCUCCGUUACACCACAAGGAUACAUGAACGGAGGAUACCAUAUUGCACUAAAAGGCAAAACACAUGCUUUACUUUGAGGUUAUGCCUGUUGGCUAUUAGUAAGGUUAAACAUAUUGAUAUGUCACAAUUAAUUAGGAUUUAAGUGAUGUACUGGUAAUUGAAAUUACCUUUUUAGAUGAUGAACAGAUGAUACAUCUGGUGUAUAACCUUUCAAUGAAAUAUUUCUUCACACUUAUAAAACUGUUGAUUCAGCACACAUUUAUCCACUAAAAAAUUGUAAUCAAAGAUGGCCUCCUCCCAGCUGUUCCAAAGAGGAAACAAAGCACAUAUUGCUUACAUGUGAGGUUCUGUAGAACUUUUAUUUUAAUAUAAUGCAGAAUACACUAAAGCUCGUGACAAAGUUUAGAGUAACAUUACAGGUUUUAUAAAGGGAAAAUUGAAAAAAAACUAUACAUUGAAGAAACAAGAACACAUUUUAUUUGUUUUACUAGGAUUGUUAAACUUAUUGUCAUUAUUUUUUAUAUCGGAGAUAAUAUAAAAGAAAAUGUUUAAAUGAAGAUGUGACAUGUAAUGGAGGUAUACAUGUAUCCUCCGCUCACUAAAAAAAAAGUGUUUAAAACAGAUUUGACGUUAAAAAUUUAUAGAACGGAAGGGUUUUAGUUCCUGUGAUUUAGAAUCAAUUAAUUGUGUAUGUAUUGUUUCUUCUUAGUACUGCUGUUUUAGUGACAUUAAAUGUUCCCUUUUUGCAAGAAUGACCCAGACACAGUUUUAACUGACUAAACAAAUUAGAGUGAAAGAAUAAUAAAAAAUAUUACAUUCAGCUUUAUGUACAAGCUAACCCAAACUAAUAAUAUUUGUUAUAUUACAUUCUAAAUACUUUAAAUGCCAAUGCAAAAUGAAAUAACUAUGACUAAAAAUUGUGAAUUACCAAAUAAAAUUUAUUAUGCUAAUUAAUAGAGGGCAGUUGUUGUGCUCUGUCACAAUUUCUUCUCCCUUUGUAUUUUUUACCAUGCUCACGUAAGAUCUUUCCAGUUUACAUACAGGCAUAUUCAGUCACUUGGUAUCUUUCCUUUUUUUAUUUCAGAAUAUAUUGGCUUAUAUCUUUAUAGACAUUCAAAGCCUGAUGUUGUUAACACUGGUACCUAUUUUCUUUAGUCUUCAUAGUUCUUACGUGACAAAAGUUUUGCCUGAAAAUUGGUGAACUUACUUGAUUAAUGGUGUGCCUAAAGCUCUGUUACAAACGUAUUUAAUGCCAAUCAUUAAAGGGAAUUGUUAUUGCCUAUCCUGAUAAGCAUAUACUUAUUACUAUAAGUUAUACUGAACAUAUCGUCGGCUUAGAGGUAGUACUGACCAAGUCCAGAUUUAUUGAGUAAAUAUGAUUUAAAAAUUGAACGGCACUCCAAAAAUCAGGUUUGUGUUACAGAUUUGUAAACAUUCGUGUAUUAUGUUUGUAACACUAUGUGGAAGAAUGUCCAGUUAUGUAGAGAAGAAAAAAAUAAUUUACAAAAUAUUUAUAAUAGUUUUAUUACUUAAAGUUGGGACUUGGUCAUUUUUACCAAUCAAUGAAAGUGAUAUGACACAAAGAUAAGAUACACUAGAACUUUGAAAUACCUUGUACUACAAAAUAAUAAAAUAGCAGUUUACAACUAAGAGUCAUAAAACAAGUAUCGCCAAAUUUUUUUAUCUGCAUUAGGAUUAAAGAAAGCCUAUUGUUGCACAUAAAAGAAAUUGUUUGACAUUUCGCACACUUUUUAAAAUUGCAAUGUUGAUUUUAAAUAAAAAAAAGUACACAACCCCAUAGAGGGUAAAAAAUUGAACAGAAUGUCAAUUAUUUUCUAAUCUUCUUAAUAGCUCUAUCAUUGAAUUAAUCAGAUUCACUGUCUGAUAACACAUCCGGUUCAGGAUUUCUACAUUUCAGCUUCUCACAAGUUGGCAAAGCAUGAUAAAAAUGAUGAUAGUCUUGUGGAAUUACCUUUUGCGACACAUAAUUUCAACAAAUCCUUCUUUUUUUCCAAAGAAAUGGGAAUGUUCUUAGUGUACAGUUGCUUGAGGUCCUUAGGCAUCUUGGUAGGUCUUCCUUUGCCAUACACUUUCAGCUCCUUGUAUUCACUACUGUAACUGUAGCUGAAGAGGAUGGAUCCCUUUCUGUCUUUUUCAUACCUUAAUCAUUUUAUUUUCAGCCAGUGCACUGCAUGGUUCAUUGUGUCACGUGUUGUAUUGUGCAUUAUCUUCUUUGCUAAAUCUUUAGAUCUUUAAAAUCUUCAAACCUCAGUUCUUCAGUUGUAUACUGCGCACUGCUUUUAUUUUUAUUUCUUUUUGAUCUAGCUAGCUGGAAAAUGUUAAGCCAGUCUUGCUUGAGGUACACUGGGACUUUUUUUGCACGACUCCAUAGCACUGUGUUUGGAAUCCACUUCCAUGUGUGAAUGACCCUUUUCCAUGAUUUGUGUUCAAUAACAUUGAAAUGAAAAUUUUGUACCACAAAUAACAACAGGGCAGCUAUAAACUGAUUCCUGUUCUCCCCGCUACAGGUAUUCGAAAACAGUGAAAAUUCUUCUAUUUUGGCCGGUAAGGUUUCAAACCAUCUGAGUAGAGCUGUUCCAAUUUCUGAACUACCUCUCUGACCGUUGACCUCUGUCCAUGCAGAGCAAUAUCCUUUGUUGGGUGGAGAGGCUUCGUAGACAGUCAAAUUGUAUGCUGAAAGUUUUCUACUGUAGUAAAUGGGCGAUACCUCGGAACGGUAUCUGGAGGACACUUUCUAAAUCGAACAAACAACUCAUAAAAGCAGAAUCAAUAAUACAUCUCACUUUAUCCUUAGCUUUACAUGACAUCUCUUCGUCUUGCCUCUUUUGGACUCUCCUUCGAAGUGUUGUUUCUCAUCACCAGUUGCUGUUUCAUAGUUUGUGCAAAUUAAGCAGUGGUCUUUUUUGGGCUUGAAAAAAGACAGGUUUUAUUCACUGCAAAAUACAUGCAGAUACACCCCUGCAGAAGGAACAGAUUCAAUAUUUUGUUCAUUGCAUUCCUUUUUGAACAAUUCAUACACUUUACUUAUCGAUAACUUGGAAUCAAGAUACUUUCUUUUAUCUUUGAAAGAUUUGUGCAAUGGGAGUGCAUGACUUGAUGUAGGCUUUUGGACAUACGCCAUUGUUUAGCACAUGUAUGUCUGCAAAAAAAACACAAAUGACAAAAAACACAGUAGCACCUGUGUUUCCGUACCAUGUGCGUCUCUGCCUGAGGACGGGAGCAGAUAGCAGUUCCCGAAAUUUCUGUUUUAGAAAACUGUUGUGUUUGUUUCGUCUUUUCGUUUGGUCGUGUUUUUGUCUCGUUUUGACUGUUGUGCUGAAUUUUUUGGGUUCAAUAUUUUUUGUGCUGUCAUCAUUUGUGGGGGUUUUAUCGUUUCUCUUUUUGUUUUUUUGGAAAACUAUUGUGUUUGUUUCGUCUUUUCGUUUUGCUGUGUUUUUGUCUCGUUUCAACUGUUGUGUUGAAUUUUUUUGGGUUCGGAAUUUUUGUGCUGUCAUCAUUUGUGGUUUUUUUUUCGUUCUGUUAGUCCAUUUUUCUUUGUUAUUUCCUUGUUUGUUGACCAUAUUCCUGUUGUGGAAUAUUGUGUGGCGUUAAAUCCUGACAACAGCAAUUUUUGCUUAAUUUGUGUUUUUUGUCAUUUGUGGGUUUUUUUUUUUUGUAGUUUUCUUCUGCAGACAUACAUGUGCUAAGCAAUGGCGUAUGUCCAAAAGCCUACAUCAAGUCAUACUUUCUUUUGGUUGUUUUUCUGCAGUAAUGACUUUCUUGAGUUGGAAACCUCUCUAUGUGGUCCUUUAUCUUCAGAACAGAAUCGAGUGGUGUUCUGUUUGGUGGCACUUUCUUCCCUCUUCUAUCCUCUUCCAUGAAAUUUACUGUCUCUGAUGCUUUACAUAUUGCAGUGUCUACUGGACCAUGACUGAUACUCAGUGUUUUUAAGAAAAAUUUUUACAUACUCUAAUCUUCUCCUGAUCUUUCAAAAAGAAGUAGCAUAUAUCAUUGUACGGCAUGUUUUUUCUCUGAAAUCUUCAUCGAAUCUGGUUGUGCAUUUGUACAUGCAUUGUGUGCAAUCAACUGGUUUGGGUACUUUUGGUAACUGUAUGCGCCUACUAUUGGAUUUGUAUGGCAGUCCUUUACUGCGGAGUCUCUUAUUUGUGUUCCUUUUCCACUGAGAGGAAUUUGGUUUUUUCCACCUACUUUUCCUUGUGGACCCUUUGCCAGGGGUAUUUUCUGUAUUGUUUGUAGCUUGCAGUACUUCAGUGUGGUCAUUUUGCUGUGCUGUAUUUACAUGAACUUACACAUCACUUUAUUUGUCCCGUAUCGACAGAUUUCUAUUAACUUGAUUUGGCUGGUAAUCUGGAUCUGCGUCGCUGUCGUCAAAUUCUGGAGAAUCUUGGUCAUCAUAUGACAUUUUUCUUUCAGAAUUUCUGGAGUCCUGCAACAGCAUUAAGUUCAAUAUAAUAUUAAGAUAUCAAUUGUAAUUACUUAUUGAAAAUUGUGAAUUAGGUCAGUUCGAAACAAAAUUAUAAUAAAUUAUUUACUCAUAAAAUUAUUUCAAAUAUUUGUCCCUAGAUUCAACCACUCUGCAAUUAUUACAAGGAUAAAGGAUACUAUAACAUAACAUUGUCCUAGUAGGACAGUAGAAAAUCAUAUGACAUAAUAUGGUAUACAGAAUACUUAUUGCCCCAAUAUUGCUUGGAUUUUUAUUACCAUGUUUACAUUUAAUAAAGUGAAAUAUUAUAAAAAAAAAUUUGUUAUUUAAUUGCAGCCAACAAUAUUUCAGUUAAAUUAUAUUUACCACAUUCACAGCCAAAGUACUGAAAUGAAUUAUAAUAUCCAAACUUUGCAUAUAAAUGGUAUCAUACUCAGUUGGGAUUGUAAACUAGAUUCAAUAUUGAUUACAUCAUGGUAACAUAGUAAAUAUUUAAAUAAUAAUUAGGGUAUUUUUAAAAUAAAUAGCAAACACUAACCUCGUGAAAUGAGUGUGCAGUUUCAUUUAUGAGAUGGUCAGGUGUCGGAUCUAUCUCGUACAUUUAUAGCAGUUCCAAAUUGCCAUUUUCUGGUAUUUUCAAUGCCUUUCUAUUCAAGUCAGUUUCGCCAUCUGGCCUAUUUUCAAAUAAUGCUGCACCAUUUCUUGAUUCCUGGAUAUACAACAUGCACAUUGUAGGCUAACUUCAAGUACCUUUAAAAGUAUCACCAAAUUAUACAUUGUUUAACAUUAUGAAUGUCUGAUCAUGCUUACCAUAUUUCCAUCUCGGUCUUCAUUUGCAUCAUUACAAGACAAAUUAUUACAAUUUGUAACAAGACUGACAAUAUACUUCCCAUGGCUCAACAUUUUGUUUUCAUUCUGUCAUAGUCAAGUUAAUAGAAUUACUUAUACACCACAAACAAGACGUUUAACACAUUUUUAUAACAGUCAUUCACAAAACCAUAGACUAAUUGAUACUAGAUGUCCACAUAGUGCUAACUUGCAAGCUUACUAGAGCAUUGUUGCCAAAAUCUGUUGCAAAAAAAUUCAUUUACCAACAAGUGACAUUAAUUUAAGUCAAUAUGUAGGAAAAUUAUUAUUUUCAUUUCAGAAAUUUAGUAUAUUAUUUGUCUAGUGGUAAGAAUUACCACAUGUAACUUAGCCAUUCUGAAAAUGUGAAAUGCAAAUUGACAAAGUUGGACUUUAACACUUUUACAUAUCGCAAUCAGAUCAACAAGAGUGGCAAAAUUGAUUAAGUCCCAUUUAGUCAUUUUUACCUUUGUACCACCUUAUAUUCUGGACUUAAUAAUUUUCCAGAAGUUCUAUAUCUCAAUAACUUGCAAUGACAGGACUGGGACACUUUUACUACUGAAGGAUAUGGCUAUAAUGAAUUGUUUACAAGUAAAAUGGCCAUUUUCAAGAAAAGUGGACUUGGGCAGUUUUACCUCUAAGCCAACGAUAUAUGCUAUUGAUUUUAAUCCCUAUCCCUAAAUGCAGCAUUCAAGAUGGUUGGGUUAUGUCUUGAGUAUUACAUCACACAAUCUAGUACUAAAAACGUAUGGUGCUUGAAUUCAUGACUAAUACUAUAAAAGUAUUUUAAUUUACCUCCGCCAGCACUAUAACAAAAAGAUGGCGGUCUAAUGAAAUUUAAACAUAACUAGUACUAUCAAAACAAGAACUUAAGAAACUUGGCACAUCAUGUUUUUAAACAUAAUUUUCUUUAAUAUUUUUAUGAAUGUGCCACCAGUAAUAAAGAUGGCGGCCUACAGAUGAUACAUAUGAUGAUAUGUAAUGAAAAUAUAAAACAUACAAUGAUAAUUUUUUAAUUUAGGCGCCAAUGACUAUAAAAAUAAGGAUAGCGUCUUUUCAAAUUUGACUUGCCUCUGCAUAACCACUACUACAGGGUCCGGCAAAAAGACCUCCCAUAUUUCAAAAGGCAGAUACAAACAAAUGAAGAAAGAUACAGAAAAAAUACUUUUAAUUGUGAACAACAAAUACUAUGCCAUUUCAAAUUACUUGAUUUUAAACAUUAUGUCAGAUAAAUGGCGUCCUCCAUUUUUGACACAUUGACGAAGCCUUUCCUGGAAGUUGUCCAUAGUUCGUGUCAUUUCCGGUGGAAUGGCAGCCACUUCCUGGGUGAUUGCCUCCUUAAGUGCUUGCAGGGUUGUGGGACGAUGUUUAUAAACUUGUGCCUUUUAAUGUCCCCAAAGAAAAAAAGUCACAAGGUGAUAAAUCAGGCGAUCUUGGGGACCAGGUGAUGUCUCCUUGCAAAGAGAGAAGACUUCCAGAAAACAACUCUCUCAAAAUUGCUAGAGAUCGCCGCGAAGUGUGAGCUGUGGUGCCAUCUUAGAGACCAACUGGUUUAACUUAGGUUGGAGGAAGGUCUCAAUCAUGUGACAGUAGCGAUUCGAAUUAACCGUUACCGUAAGCCCAUCUUCAAAAAAAUACGGACCCCACACACCGAAUUCUGCAACGGCGCACCAAACUGUCACACGAGGGCUGUGAAGUGGUCAUUGGUAAAGUUCCUGUGGGUUUUCUGUUGCCCAGUAGUGGAAAUUUUGUUUAUUUACAGUACCUGACAAGUGGAAGUGGGCCUCAUCAGAUGAAAUCAACACAGCACCAGGGGGAAUGUUCUGAAGAAUGUCCUCACACUCAGCUCUACGAGUUUCAAAAUCUCUCUCACUUAAUUCUUGGGAAACCAUUAUUUUUUAUGGGUGCAUGUGAAGAUCUCUGUGCAGGAUUCUUCCUACACUCCGAUCAGACAAUCCUAGGACAGCUGCCUGUUUAAGUGCUGAACGCUUUGGAGAUUGCUGGAUGGAUGCUCUCACACGUGCCACAUUUUCCGGCGUUGUAACAGUCCGAGGUCGGCCAGGCGAUUUUCUUUUCAGUGCAGAAUCUGUUGCUCUAAAGUUUGAUACCCAAACGUGAAUAGUUUUUCUAUCCGGAACAGAAUCAUGUCGGCCAAGUUCGAACCGAAUGCGAAAUGCUCGAUGAGUAUUAAUCACAGAACUUCCGUAAUGAAUAAGCUCCUCCACAACAAACGCAUGAUGUUCACCACGCCACGCCAUUGCGCCUACUGACAAUGGCACGUUUACCGCUAUCGAUCGAUAUCCCCUCCAUGGACCUAUCCCCACCACAACUCACACAGCGCCCUCUCCAAAUACGGGAGGUCUUUUUGCCGGAUCCUGUAUGGUGUAUCCUGUAUGGUGUGUUCUUAAGUAUUUUUGAAUUUGGUGCCAGUAAAGAUGACGGCCUACAGCAGACAAUGGUAUUUUUUUAAUUUAGGCGCCAAUGACUAUAAAAAUAAGGAUAGCGCCUUUUCAAAUUUGGCAUGCCUCUGCAUAACCACUACUAUAUAAUGGUGUGUUCUUAAGUAUUUUUGAAUUUGGUGCCAGUAAAGAUGGCGGCCUACAGCAGACUGUGGUAUUUUUAUUGCAGAAAAUUCAUCAACGAAGCAAAAAACGCAGACUACUUGAGUACCCUGACCAGCAAAAGACUUAAAUUAUCUUUCACACUUGAUGCCAACUAUGGACCUGAGGCCGAAGAACUAUAAGAUGCCGAAUCAUUGCAACAGAGAUGCUGUGACUUUAUUGGUUUCUUACUAGUUACUGCAGAGGAACAAGACAAGUGUGUGAAGGAUAAAUGCUCACAAAGAGAUUGUCAGUUGUGGCAUGAUACAAGACACACUCAACUAACAGCGAGCAAUUUUGGAGUUGUGUGCAAACUAAAAGACACAACACCCUGCAUAAUUAGUUAAGAAAUUGCUGAACCACCAGCUAUGGAGUAUGGAUUUCUCAAUUAUUGUCUUUUCAUUAAAUGGUUUGAAAAGGACACUAGCUUAACUGUGGCUAUGUGUGGUUUAUUUGUAGAACUGUUUUAAAUGACUGCAUUAUAAGAAACUGGAAAUUAUUCGUGUAUUGCUUGUAAAUUUUAAUGCCAAACUAGUGAAACAAAUCACACCAAUGAUCACAUAGGGUAACCAUGUUCUAAAUCUGUAUGUACUAUUUCUUUUUAUUUUAGGACCAAUCCUGUCAUGCAAUUUUUUUGGUGGUUUCAAACACAGUUACAAAAUAUUUUAAAUGCCUAUCUAGUUUUGAUGCAUCAAUAAAGUGUAUUCCAAUAGGCAAGAUUCAAUUUAAUAAGGCAAAUAAUUUAAUUGAUGGUUAUUAAUGCAUGAUACAAUCUAAUAAUUUCAGUUUAUUAUAUGUGCAGUUUAUUUGAUAGUAAAUUCUCUUCGUUUUUCUAACUUAUUGUCCACAAUCAUACUAUGAUUGGAGUACAGUCAAGUGGCCUAACUUUGGUCCACUUAACAGGAUUUUGAUUGUCCCAAGAUUGUGAAAUAAAGUGGGCUAAAUCUGUGUAAUCAUUUUGUCCAUAUAUUGGAAAGGAACCAAUUUUUGGAUACGUAUCCUGUGUUAGAUGAAUUUAAAUAUUUAAAAUGUUAAUUUUUCUGGUGGAGGAAAGUUAACCAAGUCAGUGGUGUAACUUUGCACCAUAUUUUUAUUUUGCUAUUAUUUAUCAUGAAAAAGGUGGCUAUUGCUGGAGCGUAUAACUUUACUCCACAAAGUAGAUAUUAAUCUACACAUAUAGCUUACCAUUUGUGCCAAGUAUCAAGUAUUUUGUCAAGUUUUACCAUUAUUUUUGUUCAACAGUGAUAAUACAAAGAGUGAAAAUGUGUUGUCUAGAUCUGUUUAUUAAUAGAAAGAAAUUUUGUAGUGUUAAAUGAAGAUGUUAAAAUAAAACCUUCACACAUAAUGUGUUACAAUAUCUCUAUUUGUCAAAUUCUGCUAUUUUAUAACAUCUGCCAUGACAAUUGGUGAUUGCAUACUGUACAGUACAUGCAACAUGUUGCAACAGCAUUUCAUAUUUUUAAAACCACGUUUGACAAUAGGAGAGGUUCAUUAAUUUUAAAAUGUCCUCGGCCACUGACAGGUUCAAUGUUACAAGGGGGUAUCUUACAAAUAACAUCACAAGGUCUGUAAAAAUUUUUAUCUUUUAUGAUUUGGCCAGCGCCAGUAUCCACCAGAUGUUGCCAUGCAUUUGACUUUGUACAAAAGUUCAUUUUCUUCUUCAGCGGCUAGCAUGUUCACAGGUACUAUCUCCCAUCAACACAGUAGGGCUAGCAUGUUCACAGGUACUAUCUCCCAUCAACACAGUAGGGCUAGCAUGUUCACAGGUACUAUCUUCCAUCAACACAGUAGGCUAGCAUGUGUUUUGCUAUCAAUAAAAGCCGACUAUUCUCUACAUAUGUAACACGUGUUUCACCAUUCUCCCGUUUACAAUAUGUACUCAUUCCCAGAUCUUCUACUGUCUCUCUUCCACCACGACCAACUUCACCUUCUCACUUCCUCAUGCAACACAUCUUCCUCUCUUUGGGCAAUGUUACCACAUUUGACACUGUUACAAAUUAAGUUUGUUUUUAGGCCUCACUUCCCUACCACUUCUUGUCCGCACUGGUGACUUCUCUUGUUUCUGAUUAUGUCUCUUUCCUGCGUCUGGCCACCAUUUCCAUCCUUCCUCUUCCUCCUCAAUGUCCUCCGCCUCUUCUAUCCUCUUUUUGAGUUCUGUUUUGUCUCGUUGCAUGAUGACCAAUUUCUCUUGUUAUCUUGUUCCUCUGGAUUCUUGUCCCAGACUCCCUCCAUGUUCUGCCGUUGUCUCUGGGCUGACUCUCCAUUCCAAUCUUACCCCUCUCCUUGGUGUGUUGUUGAUCUCCUUCCCCUGACCCUGCUUUGUGGAUGACUUUGAGUUGGUGCCUGUUUCUUCUCAGUAUUCUUCAACCUACCGAGACGAGAUAUGAACGUGGAAUACAACCUUCUGAACAUACUGUGCCAUACCUCUGUAUGUCUGUAAUCCAUACUGUGUCCUGAGAAUAGAUUGGACUACGUUCUUGAACUCUAUGUGAUUUGUCGAAAUUUCUCUUUUGAUGCUGUUUUGCUUUUUGAUGAAUGGUUUGGAAGUCUUCCCUUCUAACUGUUUUCGGGCACAAUUUCUAUUGCAACACUGGUAGGGUGUCUCGGAGUGAUCGUCCCAUGAGAAGUUGUGCCGGACUAUAAUGAAGGCCUGAGAGUGGUGUGUUCCUGUAUGCCAGUAGACCUAGAUGCGGGUCUGCCGACCGCUUGAUGACAAUUUUUCAGAUUCUUGACCGCUGCUUCUACUUCCCCAUUACUUUGUAGAUACCGUGGGCUGCUGGUAACAUGUGUAAAGCCAUACUCUGUUGCAAAAUCUUUAAAAGCUUGCGACACGUACUGGGGCCCAUUAUCUGACCUUACUUCUCGCGGGAUUCCUUGACGUGAAAAAGCAGCUUUGCAUCUUGUUAUCAUGGCUUCAGAUGUAAUGGUUGGCAUUUCAAAUAUUUCUGGGUAUCUGGAGUAGUAAUCAACAAUAAUAAGGUAAUGCUUUCCGUUCCUCUCCGCUAGGUCCGUACCGACCACUUCCCAUGGCGCUUGUGGUAAAGGCGACGGUAUCAGGGGUUCCGAUCUGUUUGGUUUUUCUCUUAUGCAUGGUACACAGUAUAAAGGCAAUAUUUACGCUUUACAGAAAGUAAAUAUUUAAUUUCCUUUAAUAUUUAUUUAGUUUCUUUAUAUUUCAUUUCUUAUGUUUAUUUGGACUCUAUGAACAACCCAGACUGUAAAUUUCUUUCGUUAUCAUUUGUCUAUGUAUUACUCAAUGUUUAUUUUAUUUUUAAAUGUUGUCAAAGUUAGCAUAGCAGUAAUAUUUUGAAUUAACGAUUAAUUUAAAGAUGAACACGUCAGAAAUGGUCAGGAAAUUUAUGAUCUUUUGUUUUCAAAAACAAACUAAAGAAAAUCAUUUAUUAGUGAUGGAAAAAUAUUCUUUUAGAACGAACAGAGACUUGAUUGAGACAGCUGCUAAAACGCAACACAUUUAGAAAUUAAUAUAUAAUUUAAUACAUUUAUUCAAAGAUUGGAAGAAACAGCUACUGCUAUUAUUAGUUGAGUUUGUAAGAGAAGAACAAUAUUUACUCUACAGAAGAUUAUACUCAAAUACCAAGAUUUAAAAUAAUUAUUUCUAAGAAGAGACGAAGAAAGAAGAAAGAAGAAUCCUGUCAAAAUGAGAAGUCACAGUUCGAGCCCAGGAAGGAUGAACGUCGCACAGUCCAGUCCUGUUGCAGCCCAUAUCUGGAAGGACGGAGGUGUUACGGCGCGUAUUCCUGCCGCACGCUAGAGGACGGAGGAGCUACACAACUACCGCAGUCCUUGACGUGUUGAACCAAGGAGUCUCUGAGAGCCUAUACGUCUCGUGGGUAUCCUGCAUCAAGGUUUGGUCCCUUACCCCAUCAACCGAAGACUCGCUGUAUAGAAGUUCCUGAACUAAUUUUAGUUUAAGCGAAACGGACAUUGUUUUGACCGAUCUAGACUCUGUAAUAUUAUAAUGGAUAUUCCCCUGUAAAGAAAACAUUCUUAAUCCCGUGAUCCCGAUCAUGAUAGUAUGACUCAGUAUAGAUGGAAUUUGGUAGUGUAAUAAUGUGUUAUUAUCUUUUGCUGACAAGUACUGCUUGAACGUACCCAGUGGUCCACGCUAUACUGUACUGAUUUUAGUUAAGAAUUGAUAACUUACUAAUUUUACCUUUCAUUUUAAUGUGUGACUUGAAUUGUACGAAAUACUUUAAAUUACACUUAAAUAUUUAACAUUUGAUUGUAAAUAAAAAACAACUCACUCAAGUGUUAAUAGAAUUGUUGGAUGCUUGAAGUUGAUAGUCAUAUCAAAUUUCAUCUGUAGCUUAGAAUAAGGUAGAUUAAGGUAAUCUUCAUUUUAAGUGUUGUUUUGUAUAUGUCAAAGUGUAUUGUCACUGUCAUAACACGCACUACACAUGAAUAUAGACAGUACAUCUGGAUUUUGAUUACACUUUAUUCCAAGGUCUAAAGUUACGAUAUUAUUUAACGUACCUUCGAAACACCCUACCUUGAAUUUUACACACAAGUAUCUUAACACAAUUAAUUCUUGAUACUGAGAGAGUUCGGCUAGAAUUGAGGAAAUUAUUAAAUAAAUUAGAUAAUUUCAUUUUAGACACUAGCUGGCUCCACAACAGCUGGCGACGAGUGCUUUAAUAUCACUUGUAAUCCCAGGCCACCACACUGUAGCUUUGGCUCUCUCGAUACACUUCUUUAUCCCCAGUUGUCCGACAUGGAUCCUGUUCAAUAUUUCCCUGCGUAACUUGCCAGGUAUCACCAUGGUAACUCCUUUCAUCAAUAUGUCUUUCACCAUAGACAAUUCCCCCUGCACAGCCCAAUAUGCCCGACAGUUCAGGGCCAUGUCUGUGGGUUUGCGAGGCCAUCCAUUUCGAACCAGUUUUAUCAGUUCUUGGCAUGUUGAGUCCGAUGCCUGCGCUUGAUGUACCUCCUCCGUUCUGGUGUCCGAUGCCGGAAACGAUGUCAUAAAUUGGGACUCCCAUUUCUCAACCUCCUCACCCGGUGCUACAAGGGGAGCUCGGGACAAUGUAUCUGGGACGUAGAACCUUUCUCCUGCUACGUACUGUAUGGUAUAUGAAUAACGCAUCAACCUCAUCCUAUACCUCUGCAACCUUGGGGGCAGUUCGUCGAUGUUUUUCUUCCCCAAUAUCAAGACAAAUGGCUGAUGAUCUGUCUGGAGGAGAAUAUGUUUACCAAGGAUGUAGAUGUAGAAUGUGUCACAUGCCCAGGUUAACGCGAGUGCUUUUUCGAUCUGCGAAUGUUUUUGUUCCGUCCCCGACAGGUCUCUUGAUGCGUAGGCGUAGGCUACUGGUCGCCACUCAUUAUUCUCGUCCGGUUGUUCUAACACCGCUCCAAUCCCAUGUGAUGAUGCGUCCGCCCCAACUCGGCAAUCUUUAUUAGGGUCAUAGUGUAAAAGUAGUGGUGCUGAGCACAGAAGUUAUUUCAGCUGAUGGAAGGAUGAUUCUUGUGGUGGUCCCCAUACAAACAUAUUGUCCUGUCUUAAUAAUUCACGGAGUGGUUCAAUUCACGGAGUGGUUCUGUCACCUGAGCUAAAUUCGGGACAAACUUUCCCACGUAAUUAACCAUUCCCAACAAACGUCUCACUUCAGCAACCGACUGGGGGGGUUGGCAUUUCCUGAACUGCCCUAAUCUUUUCAGGGUCUGCCUCUAUGCCGUUGUCUGAUACUACGUGACCCAAAAAUUUGACUCUUCUGACAGCAAAUUGGCACUUGUCAUUCAGGGUGAUUCCCGCUGCCUUGAUCUACUGUAAAACUCUGUCCAGGUUUUAAAAAAUGUGCUUGUUCAUUCUCCCCAAAUACCAUGACAUCAUCCAUGUAACAUAUGACCCCCGGAGUAUACCCCAAGAUGCGAGACAUUUCUCAGUGGUAAAAUUCUGGGGCACUAGUAAUACAGAAUGGCAGUCUAUUAAAACAAUCUCUUCCGAAAGGCGUGAUGAACGUUGUGAGAAGUCUAGACUCCUUGUCCAAGGGCACUUGCCAAUAUCCGGAAUGAGCAUCCAACUUCGAGAAUACUGUUGCCUUAUGGAGCUAUGCUAGGGAUUCAUCUACCGAGGGGAUCAUCAUGUGUUCUGUUUGGACCCCCCUCAUUAAGCUCUGUAAAGUCAACACACAGUCUAAUUGGUCCGUUAGGCUUUGGGACCAGCACCACUCCCGCGCACCAAUCUGUGGGGCAGUCAACUGGUGAUAUAACCCCCAAUUUUACCAUCCUGCGUAUUUCUUGUUCCAGUUUUGGUUUUAACGGAAUAGGAACCCUUCUGGGGCAAGCUAUGCUUACUGGUGUUAUAUCCUUUUUCAGUUUUAUUGUAUAUGGUGUUUUCAUCUGUCCUAAACCUGUAAAUAACGAUGGGUAUCUCUCUCUUGGAUCGAAGGGUUCCUUGUAUCCUACGUCCGUCACCCACUUAAGAAUUCCCAGUGCCUCCACCGCAGGACGUCCCAGAAGUGGUUCUUUCAUUCCUUUAACAACAUAGACUUCCUAAUGGGUUAUUUUCCCUUCCCAUGACAAUUCAGUUUUAAAUUUCCCUACCAUAUCUAGAUGAGUAGCCUACUACAUGGACCCAAUAACUUCAUGUUUUUAUUGCCCCUUUCCAAUACCUAUCCUGUCUUUUCUGUGAAAGUGACAAAGUUAUCUUCUAACACUGUGACAUCUGCCCCAAUAUCUAUUUUGAAAGUGACUUCGACUUCUCCCAUUCUGAUCCUUGCCCUCUACGGUGGACUUGCUGCUGUCCUGGUAUCAACACUUGCCAAAAACAGACCCGUUCCAUGUAUCUCCUCCUGGAUUUCCGAUACCUGCCGAUUCCUAUCUUUAGGUGCCCGACAUACUCUUGCGAAAUGGCCUAUCCGGCCGUACGCUCUACUUUCCUUUAUUCUCGGUCACCUCUCUACAUGGCCUUUUUCAAAAGGACCUCCACCCCGAAAACAUUCUUUCCGACUAGUCGAGGUAUUUUAACUGUGCGUUGUAUUUUUAGGGUCCUGUUUACUGUUUUGGCUGUGGUUUUCAUAUCCCGCUUUUAGCCUAACUCUAUCAAUGUUCUCUCCUUCUGUUUGUUCCACACCUGCUUUGUAUGACUUCUUGUUGUUUCCUAACCGCCUCCGUUUGCCUGGCCUUUGUAACCGCACUUUAUAAAGUGAGGUUAGCAUCCAACUGUAACAUCUCCGACAGUUUUUUGUCCGUUAAGCCGACAACAAAUCUAUCCCGCACCAGUUCUUCCCGCAAGGUCUUAUACUCAAUGUUCUGCUAAUGUGUGUAAAGCUGUAAUAAAUGUAUCGACUGAUUCGUUUACCAUUUGCGAACGCUGAUUAAAUCCAGCCCUUUCAAAAAUUAUGUUCCUUCUUGGAAUAAAGUAAGAUUCCAGUUUCUUUGUAACAAACUCCUACGACUUUGCAUCUUCCUUUGAGAGGUUAAAUGAGUUGACAACCUCCUUUGCUUCCUGUCCCAUUAUAUAAAUCAAUGUACUAACCUGUACAUCACCCUCCUUUUCUGCUAAUCCGCUCACCAACCUGUAUCUCUGAAACCUUUUGAACCAGCUACUCCAUUCCUCCGACUUCCUGAAUUCAAAACUGCAAGGUGGCGGAACGAAGCUUGUAGUUCCACUUCCCGCCAUUAUCUCGCACUUUUACUUCUUCCUAUCUUGAACACUCUCGCAUUCCUUUAACCGAUUUAUUUCUCCCCCAGUUUUCUGGAUCCCACUUCUGACACCAUGUUUCGCUAUCAAUAAAAGCCGACAAUUCUGUACAUACAUAUAUUGUACCACAUGUUUCACCAUUCUCCCGUUUACAAUAUGUCCUCAUUCCCCGAUCUUCUACUGUCUCUCUUCCACCACUACCAACUUCACCUUCUCACUUCCUCAUGCAACACAGCAUGUUCACUGGUACAAUCUUCAAGUAACAUAGUAGGGCCAGCAUUUAUUGUUGAUGACACACACACGUCAACUACGUCCCGACUUUCCGAAGUAAAGUUUCUACUUCUUAUACUGAUACACUCCUGCCAGGUUCAAUAGGUAGUUUAAACUUUCUUUAUCGUUGAACCUUAUCCAUAUCAGAGGAAUGCACUUCUGAUAUGAAUGAUUUGAAACAUUCACCUACAUUGUCAGUUAUCUGCAAUGCUUCUUUAGCAUAUUGCGGCAAUUUUUUGAUAACCUUAUCUUUAUCUAUGGGAUGGAUACCAGUUGUUAAAAACCCUUUCACUAGGUUACUUGAUGCAGUUGGUUCGCCCAUAUCUAGUGUAAACUUUAGAAGCUGACAAAAAAGUGAUUUUGGAAGGGCAACAAAACGUUUUCCUUCUCUGGUUUGUCUCCAAUAAUACAGGAUUUUCCUCCAAUUAGAUUUUGGCAAUGAAAAAUAUGCCACAUCUAGAGGUUGCAGUAAAUGAGUGGAAUUGGGAAUAAGCAUGAUGAAAGAUAUAUUGUUUUCAGUACAUAACUUUAAGGUUUUCAAAGUCAAGUGUGCUGACAUGUUGUCUCCGAUUAACACUUUCUUGCCUGAAUGUUUCAAAGCAAAAGGAAGGAAGUGGUUCUCAAACCAAUCAUGGAAGACAUCCUGAUCAAUCCACCCAUGAAGUGUUAGAUUUAACCUAGUGCCUGGUGGAGCACCCUUCAGCCAGUCACUCCAUUUCUGUUUCCCUUUCAGGAUAACAUAAGGAGGAAGAAAUUCUCCUAAGACCAUUCCAAAAAACAUUGUGGUAAAACAAGACUUUGUGCUAUUCAAAAUCAGUUCAGGGUGGCGCGACCAUCGUCGAAACAGAAGUUUUUUCUUACUAGGCACAUAAUGGGAACCUGUCUCGUCAUAGUUAUAAAUGUUACAAGGUAGUACAUCCUCAAUUUCUUUUUCUAAAUUCACAAAUAAUGUUUUACCAUGUUUUCACUGACUUGAGCCCGGAAUCUUGAGAUAUUACUUGCGAUCCUUUGACCUAACUCAGCUUUGUGACGCUUUAGAAACAGUCUACCCCAAUCCAUGCCUGGUAAAUUGUUUUUAAACUGAGGCACUUCAGUGUUUGUUGAAUCUAAGUAACCUUUUAUGAUAAAGCGCACAUCACACAUUGAUGAAUGCAUUCCAAAUUCACUGCAUGUUAUAACAUGGUUUACAAAACUCUGCUCUUCUAUCUCGGUAAACGCCUGAGGCCUGCCUAUUGCUUUUUCGUGGCAUAGCUUUAACUUGUGAAUUAUGUUCCUUGGUAUACCAUACUCUCUUUCUACUUGGCGAUGACCAAUUUUACCUGCUUUGAUAUCCUCUAAUACCUGCUGUAGAACAGCAUCAGUAUAUGAUUUAUAUGGCCUGGUACCAGGUAACUUCUCUUUCCUCAGCUCAGACAUUAUACAGUCUUCUGUUAACAAAUAAUACAGUACAAUAAGUAAUAUUUUGAAAUAACCGCAUUUACAGUUUCAGUUACUUAGGCCUAAAUUAGCAUUCUUUGUACCAUAAAUACAGUAACUUUUUUACAAUAUUAAAAUAGGCUGUGAAAAGAUUUUGGUUUGUAUCAAAAUAUUAGGUUUACAAUAUAAUAUGUGGUAAAUUACACAGUCACAUAGGCCUACAAAACAUCUCAGAAACACAAAUUGUGUGUAACUUUGAGCCGGGGCAAAGUUGCCCUGAAAUGUUCUGAAUUGAAGGUGAGCAUGCAUUUGUAUUAUUAGUAAUUUUUUCAUUAUUUGUUGUUCCACUUUAUUUACUUACCAUUAAAGUGUUAACUGUGAAA
Long non-coding RNA from Bacillus rossius redtenbacheri, 22324 nucleotides. RefSeq lists it as uncharacterized. The record is from RefSeq and is a predicted model, not a curated record. The transcript is spliced from 2 exons. NCBI's taxonomy places the organism in Eukaryota, Metazoa, Arthropoda, Insecta, Phasmatodea, Bacillidae.